GCGCUCGUAGCUCAACUGGAUAGAGUAAUCGGCUACGAACCGAUCGGUUGCAGGUUCGACUCCUGCCGAGCGCGCCA
RNAcentral lists this transfer RNA (77 nucleotides) under Candidatus Vesicomyidisocius calyptogenae. Its description in RNAcentral is "Candidatus Vesicomyosocius okutanii HA tRNA-Arg-ACG-1-1". It matches the Rfam family "tRNA". From Rfam's summary of the family: Transfer RNA (tRNA) molecules are approximately 80 nucleotides in length. Their secondary structure includes four short double-helical elements and three loops (D, anti-codon, and T loops). Lineage: Bacteria; Pseudomonadati; Pseudomonadota; Gammaproteobacteria; Pseudothioglobaceae (SeqCode). The record is from RNAcentral. RNAcentral also lists the same sequence under 1 other name.